GCGUUUAUAGCUCAGUUGGUUAGAGCACCACCUUGACAUGGUGGGGGUCGUUGGUUCGAGUCCAUUUAGACGCACCA
RNAcentral lists this transfer RNA (77 nucleotides) under Klebsiella pneumoniae. RNAcentral's name for it is "tRNA-Val". It matches the Rfam family "tRNA". Rfam says of the family: Transfer RNA (tRNA) molecules are approximately 80 nucleotides in length. Their secondary structure includes four short double-helical elements and three loops (D, anti-codon, and T loops). Lineage: Bacteria; Pseudomonadati; Pseudomonadota; Gammaproteobacteria; Enterobacterales; Enterobacteriaceae. The record is from RNAcentral.